GUGCCAGCAGCCGCGGUAAGACGAACCGAGCGAACGUUGUUCGGAAUCACUGGGCUUAAAGGGCGCGUAGGCGGGCUGUCAAGUCUGGGGUGAAAUCCCGCGGCUCAACCGUGGAACUGCCUCAGAUACUGACGGCCUCGAGGGGGGUAGGGGCGAGCGGAACGGAUGGUGGAGCGGUGAAAUGCGUUGAUAUCAUCCGGAACUCCGGUGGCGAAGGCGGCUCGCUGGACCUCUUCUGACGCUGAGGCGCGAAAGCUAGGGGAGCAAACGGGAUUAGAUACCCCGGUAGUCC
Molecule: ribosomal RNA, 292 nt
Filed under: uncultured bacterium
Lineage: Bacteria
Description: partial 16S ribosomal RNA
Rfam family: Bacterial small subunit ribosomal RNA
Source: RNAcentral